CCUACGGGAGGCAGCAGUGGGGAAUAUUGGGCAAUGGACGCAAGUCUGACCCAGCAACGCCGCGUGAAGGAAGAAGGCUUGCGGGUUGUAAACUUCUGUUAAGGGGGAAGAGCAGAAGACGGUACCCCUUGAAUAAGCCACGGCUAACUACGUGCCAGCAGCCGCGGUAAUACGUAGGUGGCAAGCGUUGUCCGGAUUUACGGGGUGUAAAGGGCGUGCAGCCGGAGAGAAAAGGCAGAUGUGAAAUCCACGGGCUCAACCCGUGAACGGCAUUUGAAACUGUUUCCCUUGAGUGUCGGCGUGUUAAUCGGAAUUCCUUGUGUAGCGGUGCCAUCCGUCGAUAUCAGGACGCACACCAGUGGCGAAGGCGGCUUACUGGACGAUACCUGACGGUGCGGCGCGAACGCGUGGGGAGCAAACAGGAUUAGCUACCCCAGUAGUC
RNAcentral lists this ribosomal RNA (442 nucleotides) under uncultured bacterium. RNAcentral describes it as "partial 16S ribosomal RNA". It matches the Rfam family "Bacterial small subunit ribosomal RNA", at positions 338 to 795 of the family's 1533-position model. The record is from RNAcentral.